RNAcentral lists this long non-coding RNA (638 nucleotides) under Mytilus galloprovincialis (Mediterranean mussel). The record is from RNAcentral. Lineage: Eukaryota; Metazoa; Mollusca; Bivalvia; Mytilida; Mytilidae.
AAAAAUUCUGGCCGUAUUUGGAUUGAAAACAAUAAUCUUGUCCACUUUUUGGCUAAAAGAAACGAAAAUUUCCGACAGAAUAAUAUAGCAUUAAAUGAACAUAAUGAAUAAAAAACGGGCGUAUUUUUGGGGGACGGGGGUUUGCAUGAACUGAUAUAUUGAAUACUUUUAUCAAGAUCAGACUGCAACCUGCCUGCUGGGUGUGGCCUUUAUGUCUCCAUUUGUCAUGUUUGUCGACCGUCAUUCAUAAAUUCGUUGUCAUUUCAGACUCAUUCGUAGCCUAUGGUUAAUUUUCAAUUUUGUUGGGUAAAACAUAUCAACCAAACAUUUGUAUAAAAAUUGCUUGUUUGUCUUUUUUAACUCGUGUCGCUCGUAUUGUAAAAUUAAUCAAAAAGCGCGGUGUGUAUCUUGUUUACAACAAGAAAUCUGUGAGUUUAUGCUAACUUAACAUACAACAAGCGAGAAUUUUCAAUGUCUAUUUUUUACUGACAAGUCCCACAUCAAAUAUAUCAGUUCAUAGCUUUUGACCCAUACUAUCAUUUUAUGAUAGACAAUUUAUGGGGAGAAUACAACAUCAAAAAUGUCCAACCCUUACACUUAACAGCAACUAUAAAAUAUACAUGCCCCACGUCACGAAC